CCUACGGGUGGCAGCAGUGGGGGAUAUUGCACAAUGGGGGAAACCCUGAUGCAGCGACGCCGCGUGUGGGAAGACGGUCCUCUGGAUUGUAAACCACUGUCCCCAGGGACGAAGAUGACGGUACCUGGGGAGGAAGCUCCGGCUAACUACGUGCCAGCAGCCGCGGUACUACGUAGGGAGCGAGCGUUGUCCGGAAUUACUGGGUGUAAAGGGAGCGUAGGCGGGACUGCAAGUUGGGUGUCAAAUCUACCGGCUCAACCGGUAGCCGCACUCAAAACUGCAGUUCUUGAGUGAAGUAGAGGCAGGCGGAAUGCCUAGUGUAGCGGUGAAAUGCGUAGAUAUUAGGAGGAACACCAGUGGCGAAGGCGGCCUGCUGGGCUUUUACUGACGCUGAGGCUCGAAAGUGUGGGGAGCAAACAGGAUUAGAUACCCGAGUAGUC
RNAcentral lists this ribosomal RNA (440 nucleotides) under uncultured bacterium. RNAcentral describes it as "partial 16S ribosomal RNA". It matches the Rfam family "Bacterial small subunit ribosomal RNA", at positions 338 to 795 of the family's 1533-position model. The record is from RNAcentral.